This 84-nucleotide transfer RNA is filed under the name Caldibacillus debilis GB1. It matches the Rfam family "tRNA". Rfam says of the family: Transfer RNA (tRNA) molecules are approximately 80 nucleotides in length. Their secondary structure includes four short double-helical elements and three loops (D, anti-codon, and T loops). The record is from Rfam by way of RNAcentral. Lineage: Bacteria; Bacillati; Bacillota; Bacilli; Caryophanales; Bacillaceae.
GCGGGCAUGGUGAAAUUAGCAGACACGCGUGACUCGGGAUCAUGUGCCCUUCGGGACGUGAGGGGUCAAGUCCCUCUGCCCGCA